AGAGUUUGAUCCUGGCUCAGAACGAACGCUGGCGGCAUGCCUAACACAUGCAAGUCGAACGAGACCUUCGGGUCUAGUGGCGCACGGGUGCGUAACGCGUGGGAAUCUACCCUUGGGUUCGGAAUAACUCAGAGAAAUUUGAGCUAAUACCGGAUGAUGUCGCAAGACCAAAGAUUUAUCGCCCAAGGAUGAGCCCGCGUAGGAUUAGCUUGUUGGUGAGGUAAAAGCUCACCAAGGCGACGAUCCUUAGCUGGUCUGAGAGGAUGAUCAGCCACACUGGGACUGAGACACGGCCCAGACUCCUACGGGAGGCAGCAGUGGGGAAUAUUGGACAAUGGGCGAAAGCCUGAUCCAGCAAUGCCGCGUGAGUGAUGAAGGCCUUAGGGUUGUAAAGCUCUUUACCCGGGAUGAUAAUGACAGUACCGGGAGAAUAAGCCCCGGCUAACUCCGUG
Molecule: ribosomal RNA, 452 nt
Filed under: uncultured bacterium
Lineage: Bacteria
Description: bacterial SSU rRNA
Rfam family: Bacterial small subunit ribosomal RNA
Source: RNAcentral